GCUAGUAAUGGCAGGUCAGCAUACUGCCGUGAAUACGUUCCCGGGCCUUGUACACACCGCCCGUCACACCAUGAGAGUUGGGAGCGCCCGAAGCCGGUGAGGUAACCGAGAGGAGCCAGCCGUCGAAGGUGAGACCAAUGACUGGGGUGAAGUCGUAACAAGGUAGC
This 167-nucleotide ribosomal RNA is filed under the name uncultured bacterium. Its description in RNAcentral is "partial 16S ribosomal RNA". It matches the Rfam family "Bacterial small subunit ribosomal RNA", at positions 1334 to 1500 of the family's 1533-position model. The record is from RNAcentral.